AUUGAACGCUGGCGGCAUGCCUUACACAUACAAGUCGAACGGUAACAGGUCUUCGGAUGCUGACGAGUGGCGAACGGGUGAGUAAUACAUCGGAACGUGCCUAGUAGUGGGGGAUAACUACUCGAAAGAGUGGCUAAUACCGCAGGAGAACUACGGAUGAAAGCAGGGGAUGGCAAGACCUUGUGCUACUAUAGCGGCCGAUGGCAGAUUAGGUAGUGGGUGGGAUAAAAGCUUACCAAGCCGACGAUCUGUAGCUGGUCUGAGAGGACGAUCAGCCACACUGGGACUGAGACACGGCCCAGACUCCUACGGGAGGCAGCAGUGGGGAAUUUUGGACAAUGGGCGCAAGCCUGAUCCAGCAAUGCCGCGUGCAGGAUGAAGGCCUUCGGGUUGUAAACUGCUUUUGUACGGAACGAAAAGCCCCGGGUUAAUACCCUGGGGUCAUGACGGUACCGUAAGAAUAAGCACCGGCUAACUACGUGCCAGCCGCCGCAGUAA
This 498-nucleotide ribosomal RNA is filed under the name uncultured bacterium. Its description in RNAcentral is "partial 16S ribosomal RNA". It matches the Rfam family "Bacterial small subunit ribosomal RNA", at positions 30 to 523 of the family's 1533-position model. The record is from RNAcentral.